UGCCCUUGAGGCGUGGCUUCCGGAGCUAACGCGUUAAAUCGACCGCCUGGGGAGUACGGCCGCAAGGUUAAAACUCAAAUGAAUUGACGGGGGCCCGCACAAGCGGUGGAGCAUGUGGUUUAAUUCGAUGCAACGCGAAGAACCUUACCUGGUCUUGACAUCCACAGAACUUACCAGAGAUGCUUUGGUGCCUUCGGGAACUGUGAGACAGGUGCUGCAUGGCUGUCGUCAGCUCGUGUUGUGAAAUGUUGGGUUAAGUCCCGCAACGAGCGCAACCCUUAUCCUUUGUUGCCAGCGGUUCGGCCGGGAACUCAAAGGAGACUGCCAGUGAUAAACUGGAGGAAGGUGGGGAUGACGUCAAGUCAUCAUGGCCCUUACGACCAGGGCUACACACGUGCUACAAUGGCAUAUACAAAGAGAAGCGACCUCGCGAGAGCAAGCGGACCUCAUAAAGUAUGUCGUAGUCCGGAUUGGAGUCUGCAACUCGACUCCAUGAAGUCGGAAUCGCUAGUAAUCGUAGAUCAGAAUGCUACGGUGAAUACGUUCCCGGGCCUUGUACACACCGCCCGUCACACCAUGGGAGUGGGUUGCAAAAGAAGUAGGUAGCUUAACCUUCGGGAGGGCGCUUACCACUUUGUGAUUCAUGACUGGGGUGAAGUC
Molecule: ribosomal RNA, 660 nt
Filed under: Klebsiella pneumoniae
Lineage: Bacteria; Pseudomonadati; Pseudomonadota; Gammaproteobacteria; Enterobacterales; Enterobacteriaceae
Description: bacterial SSU rRNA
Rfam family: Bacterial small subunit ribosomal RNA
Source: RNAcentral